Phrynosoma platyrhinos (Desert horned lizard) is the source of this 72-nucleotide non-coding RNA. The record is from the annotation of a GenBank genome assembly. NCBI's taxonomy places the organism in Eukaryota, Metazoa, Chordata, Lepidosauria, Squamata, Phrynosomatidae.
UCCAGUGUAGCAUAGUAGUUUGAGUGUUGGACUUUGGCUCUGGAGAUCAGGGUUCAAUUCCCAGCUCAGCCA